Molecule: transfer RNA, 84 nt
Filed under: Candidatus Woesearchaeota archaeon
Lineage: Archaea; Nanobdellati; Candidatus Woesearchaeota
Description: tRNA-Leu
Rfam family: tRNA
About the family: Transfer RNA (tRNA) molecules are approximately 80 nucleotides in length. Their secondary structure includes four short double-helical elements and three loops (D, anti-codon, and T loops). Further hydrogen bonds mediate the characteristic L-shaped molecular structure. tRNAs have two regions of fundamental functional importance: the anti-codon, which is responsible for specific mRNA codon recognition, and the 3' end, to which the tRNAs corresponding amino acid is attached (by aminoacyl-tRNA synthetases). tRNAs cope with the degeneracy of the genetic code in two manners: having more than one tRNA (with a specific anti-codon) for a particular amino acid; and 'wobble' base-pairing, i.e. permitting non-standard base-pairing at the 3rd anti-codon position.
Source: RNAcentral
GCGGGGGUGCCGGAGCGGUCAAACGGGCUGGGCUUAGGACCCAGUGGGUUAGUCCCUGCGCGAGUUCAAAUCUCGUCCCCCGCA